UCGUCCCUUGAUCCGUCCCCGCCCUGUGUCGCCUUCCUAGUCUCUGCGCAGUGAGAGGGUGCCCGCCCUUUUUGUCCCGGGAGGUUGACGGGAGGAUCCGCUUCUACAUCUUAGCGGGUUCCUGGUCGGCCUCGCCAGCGGGUGCAGGAACCCGGACCAGGGUCCCCCAAGUUUUUCUGCUGCAUAUGCGGAGAUCAGCGGCUAGGAGUUCAAGUGCAGGGUGAAUGCUGCCUGUACAAGCCACUAAAGCGGGGGUACUCGUGCUGGUAUUUCAGCCGACACCAGUUGUCACUAUAGUUAAAAGGGAAAAGUGCCUCUAAUGAGGUGAGACAUUAAGUACCAGGUGUGGCUAAAAAAACAGUGAAUGUUGUUGGAUGGCAUUCGGCCAUCCAAAAGGACAGGGAUCUUCAAUAGAAGAGUACGUCGAACCUUAGUAAUAGUGUGUGACGCCUUUCAACUUGCUUGGGGCAGUCAGUCUGAGCCACGGUUGAGAGGAGUGUUUUUUUGAAAGUCCCAUAAAUGAUGGAUCAUGAGCAACGUAUUAACAUGAAAUUUUGUUUCAAACUGCAAAAAAGUGCUAAAGAAACACAUGAAAUGUUAAAAUUAGUGUAUGGCGAUGCCGCAGUGACCAGAAAGACUGUUUACAAGUGGUUUGAGCGAUUUCGUAAGGGUUGUGAAUCUGUGAACGACGAGGAGAGAUCCGGACGUCCUUCAACGUCAAAAACCCGAGAAAAUGUUGAAAGAGUAAGCGAAAUGAUUCGUUCAAACAAGAGAUUGACUAUUAGGAAAAUUUCUGAGGAUCUGAACAUUUCUUAUGGUACUGUACAAAGCAUUUUAACAACAGAUUUGAACAUGAGGCGAGUGAGUCCGAAAUGUAUCCAUACACAGCCACAGGAGUUGGAGCAGUAAGGCAGUGCCGCUGGUGACGGCAUCGUUUUGCAUUUACCUUACUGACUCUGAGGUAGGUACUUUUCUCCCGUGUUAGAGAUAAAGAAAUGGUCAGGAGGGAACUCGGGAUCCCACUACCUAUGAGUAGCUCUGAGCAAGGAGCCUCACGUGUGACUUUGUGUCUAUGUGAGUAAGGUGAUGCCUUGACAUUUGAUGUCUCAGUAUAACAGUAGAUAUUUAUUUAAGCAGAUUAAUCCAGUUUGGGGGGAGCAAAACCACACAGCUGUUAAGUUAUAAGCACUUCAUAUUUUUUUCCUGGUAUCAGGGAUUGAACUCAGACUCUUGCACUUGCAAGGCAGGCGUGAUGCCACUGACCUAAAGCCCUGGC
This is a long non-coding RNA of Fukomys damarensis (Damara mole-rat), 1276 nucleotides long. RefSeq lists it as uncharacterized. Lineage: Eukaryota; Metazoa; Chordata; Mammalia; Rodentia; Bathyergidae. The record is from RefSeq and is a predicted model, not a curated record. The transcript has 3 exons.